RNAcentral lists this long non-coding RNA (4631 nucleotides) under Strigops habroptila (Kakapo). Its description in RNAcentral is "lncRNA (ENSSHBG00005006312.1)". The record is from RNAcentral. Lineage: Eukaryota; Metazoa; Chordata; Aves; Psittaciformes; Psittacidae.
UUUUCAGUUAGGCUUUUUUAUUUCAAUCAAUAGUUUAACAAGUGCUUAAACUUCCCCAGCAGUUUAAUCUGGAACAUAGUUUAAGAGGAAAAAUAUUUUCUAUAACUUUACAAAAAUAAAAAGUUGUGGGUUUUUUUGUUUUUUUUUUUUAAAUCCUGCACUUUAAGCAAGCACACUCCAACUCAAGCAAGACAGACAUAUCUUAAAAUACGGACUUCUGUUCAUAAAAAUGACAUUCUACCCCAGGGCAGCAGGCACAAUAUGUAAACGUUAUAGGAACAGAGCAAGAAUACUUGUUUAUUUUUUUUUCCUGAUCCUUUUUGUCUUAUUUCUUAAAUAGGAGCUGUUAAAACAAUUUGCCCAACAACUUUUUCAGGUUACCAUUCCUUCUGUCAGGUGGCUCCUUGAGUAGGAUAUAACUGAGCGAAAAACUUCCACCUGUCCUGGCAACACUAGUGGUUCUUGAAGAUACCACCAUUAAUUGUUUCUUUAUUGUUUUUAAAGCUUCUGCAAUGGGACAAAUCACUCAGUUUGUAGGUCUUCUGGUGCUAAACUACUUGCAGCUCAACUUCUUCAAAAGCCAGGCCUGCCAGCACAUGAGGUCAGGCUGGAGAAAUAAAAUGAAUGGAAUAUACUGCGUCAUAGAUGUGGACAGUGCUGUGCAGCAGUUUAGUGUGUGAUGAAACCAGAGGAUCAAGGAACCUUAGCUCCUAGUUCUGUGCCUGUAACCUAGGAGAAGCCUUGGAGAGAGCAUGGGUUGGCAAAUAAACUAUACACUCUGAGGACUUCCAUCUUUUUCCAACUUGACUUAUAUUGGCUAAUAGAAAGAAAAAAUAUACAGGCACAUGGAGGACAGCUGGUGCAGCAUACACUAAGAACCCAGAUCAUAAAAUUAUGUUUCUGGGCAAUGCUACAAAUAAAGUAAAUGAGGGCCCAGUCAGGUAAGAACUAGACAGUCCUUUCUCUUGAAACUGUUGUAAUAUUUCUGGCAUUGGGCAAUUUGCAGAGGAGCCACACGCACUAAUAAACUGUAGAUCUUUACUUUGAUGAAUGUAGAACAUUGUGCUGCAGAGCAGUUCUGUUGCUCCAUCCUGCAUCACCAGCAUGGGCAGAUUUCAGCGGGGACUGAGUUGUGGUGGCACUUGCAUAGAGAAGGAACAGUGACAACUGUUCUGACAACUCCUAGCCAUUGAUAGUUUUCCAGAGAUAGGACCACCUAACAUGGGAAUGAAUGGUUAACAAUGGUGGAAGAAGCUUGUCUCGUGUAAUUUAAGGAACAUCACGCCACACCUAUCCUCAUGAAUAAAAGCUAAUAUGAAUUCAAGUCAUAUGCCACUCAGUCUCAAACAGAAGUCAGAAGCAAAGCUUGUAUUUAAGGCACUUGUUUGACUGUAAUAGCUCAGUAACUCAGCUGGAGAUAAGCUGGUGUCAGUCUGCUGAAUAUACAACUCAAGUCUAUAGCUAGAGAAAACCAAAUUCCGUUCUGGUUCUUAGCUUCUCUUUCAGAGGUGUUGUGUUUCCUUUUUGACCCUCCAGUUAAAACUGUGCUUCUGAUGCCUCCCUACCUACUCAUCUAGAACUGACUCUUCAAGUAGGUUUGACUCUGUGGAGCAGACAACCACUGAGAAAUGCUGAUCAGAGCAGCUGUUGUUCAUGAAGGGUCGAUCCAUCAUGGUGCAUCGGCUUUCAGCAUCUUCCAUCAGGCUGAAGGAGGAUCUGAUAUCAGGUGGAUGGUUGAACACUUCUUCCAGUGACUGCUGAGCCAUUGUGAGCCUUGUUCCUGACUCUUAAUGAGUUUUCUGUGACUUUUCAUCUGUCUGAGGAAACAAUGUCGAAGAUGUGACCUGACCUGGCAGUGAGUCUAUGAUACUGUUCCUUCUCCCUCCUCCUGCUGUCUCAAAAUUAGGUGAACCGAUUUUGUUCCAACUCUGAGGAAAUUUACAUCCGAGGCUGAUACCAAGUUGGAAAACUGUCAAGAAGGUAUGGACUUUGAGGAGAUGGGAAGUCUAAGCAUAACCAUUUAUUGCUGAAAUGUCUUUUUUCUGCUGCUUUGCUAGCAAGGUCCAUGCUGUCACUGUGUUUUCAAAGAGCGCUUUUGCUAUAGCAGACGGUAUGGAGACUCACCUAUGUAAAGCUGAAGGACCUUCAUUCAAGACAUACUUUUCCUAUGAUGUUGAAAAUAACACAUUAAAGGCUUUUUUUCUCACACAGUACUCGUAUGAGAAGUUAGAAGUUGCUCAUACUGAUGAAGAUUGCUCAUACAUUAUGACCUUACUCCUUACAUUUCUUACACAGCUUCCUGUUCCUCCUGUGAGCCAAAACACAUGUGUAUGUCAGUAAAAGCCACCACCCAAAUGCCUCAAGGUUAAGACAUACCCUCAGCUUGUUCCCCGUUAAAGCAGGGGAGCAUGGUUCAUCUAUGAACUUGCAUGUCCCUCCCCAGCAUCCCUGUAGGCCCCCUUCAGAUACUGGAAGGCUGCUAUGAGGUCUCCACGCAGCCUUCUCUUCUCCAGGCUGAACAGCCCCAACUUUCUCCGCCUGUCUUCAUACGGGAGGUGCUCCAGCCCCCUUAUCAUCCUCGUGGCCCUCCUCUGGACUCGCUCCAACAGCUCCAUGUCCUUUUUAUGUUGAGGACACCAGAACUGUACACAGUACUCCAAGUGAGGUCUCACGAGAGCAGAGUAGAGGGGCAGGAUCACCUCCUUUGACCUGCUGGUCAUGCUGCUUUUGAUGCAGCCCAGCAUACGUUGGCUUUCUGGGCUGCAAGCACAUACUGCUGGCUCAUGUUCAGUUUCUCAUCAGCCAACACCCCCAAGUCCUUCUCUGCAGGGCUGCUCUGAAUCUCUUCCCGCCCAACCUGUAGCUGUGCCUGGGAUUGGUCCAACCCAGGUAUCGGACCUUGCACUUGGCUUGGUUAAACUUCAUAAGGUUGGCAUCGGCCCACCUCACAAGCGUGUCAAGGUCCCUCUGGAUGGCAUCCCUUCCCUCCAGCGUAUCAACCGAUCCACACAGCUUGGUGUCAUCGGCAAACUUGCUGAGGGCGCACUCAAUCCCAUUGUCCAUGUCGCCAACAAAGAUGUUGAACAGGACCGGUCCCAACACCGAUCCCUGAGGGACGCCACUCAUUACAGGUUUCCAACCGGACAUUGAGCCAUUUACCACAACUCUUCGCGUGCAGCCAUCCAGCCAGUUCUUUAUCCACUGAGUGGUCCAUCCAUCAAAUUGAUGUCUCUCCAAUUUAGAGACAAGGAUGUCAUGCAGGACAGUGUCGAAUGCUUUGCACAAGUCCAGGUAGAUGACGUCAACUGCUCUGCCCCUGUCCAUCAGUUCCGUGGCUCCAUCAUAGAAGGCCACCAAAUUGGUCAGGCAGGAUUUCCCCUUAGUGAAGCCAUGUUGGCUGUCACCAACCACCUCGGUGUUUUUCAUGUGCCUUAGCAUGCUUUCCAGGAGAAACUGCUCCAAGAUUUUGCCAGGCACAGAGAUGAGACUGACUGGUCUGUAGUUCCCUGGGGGGUUAUAUUUCCCUUUUUCCAGUUGUUGGGAACUUCACCUGACUGCCAUAAUGGACAGUGGCUUAGCAACUUCAUUCGCCAGCUCCUUCAGGACCUGCGGAUGGAUUUCAUCAGGUCCCAUGGACUUGUGCACGUUCAGGUUCCUAAGAUGAUCUUGAACCUGAUCCUUUCCUCUCAGCCUUCUCCAAAUCCAGAGUAGCCAGUUCUCCUGAUAGCUUCCGGAGAGGGCCCACAUUAUCCCUAGUCUGUUCAGUCUGUCCCACAAGGAGUAAAGGGAGGAUGUGGCUGUGUUUGUGCCACUCUUGCUCCUUCCUCUGGUAAGACUGGGCCAGUCUAAAUAGGGUUGCAUGUUACGACUCCACUCAUUUUUUUACUUUGCCCACCUGACUGACAGCAAAUCCAAGGCACAAACACCAUGGGCAGAGCUUGUAAGGCCUCAGCAAUGUGAAAACGUAAGUCGUCCCUGCAGCCUUGUAUUGCAGCUUACCUGCACUGUGUGCAUCCGACAGAAAUGCUUCUGUCUGGCUUUAAGGCGGCUUGGUUGUAACUACUCACUAGAAACAAAGGGAGGUCUUGAAGCAAUUACAUAGCUAAGGAAAUAGAAAAAGGAAAUAUUUAAACCACUGGUUAUUUUUACAACUUAAUGAUUGUAAAAAUAGCUUAAAUUACUUGGACUAUUUUUUUCAUCAGAGGUAUCAACUGUUUAGCACUAUCUGAACAGAGGGCUGUUGCUUUGCUGUUUCUUUGUGUGUUACGAGCUGUGAGAUAAUGACAAGAUAAAUCUUUGUGUGUUUCCUCCUUAUAUACAUAUCUACAUCAGAGCUGUGAAGUCAGAGAGGGAAGCUGCUAUCACAGUACUGGCACAAUACUGAGCCCUUCCCCAGAGCUAUAUUCUGAUGAGAAACGGGGUGUUGGGGAGAAGAGUACCACAAUGGUAAGAUGGCAGAGACGGCUGAAGCAGGAUCAUAACGUUCACCCCAGCAGUUAAAAAAAAUAAUAAAAGGAGACCUCCUCCCUCCCCCCAGAAUUCUGCAGUCCUAAAGUGCAAUUACUUUUGUGCAGUCAUGUCAGGCCAGGGAUCAGACUGGAUGAAGUUCAAAGCACAAACAUCAAACGAGU